RNAcentral lists this ribosomal RNA (253 nucleotides) under uncultured bacterium. Its description in RNAcentral is "partial 16S ribosomal RNA". It matches the Rfam family "Bacterial small subunit ribosomal RNA", at positions 524 to 776 of the family's 1533-position model. The record is from RNAcentral.
UACAGAGGGGGCAAGCGUUAUUCGGAAUUAUUGGGCGUAAAGGGCGCGUAGGCGGCAUGGCAAGUGGAUGGUGAAAUCCCUCGGCUUAACCGAGGAACUGCCGUCCAAACUGCUUCGCUUGAGACCGGGAGAGGUGAGUGGAAUUCCCAGUGUAGCGGUGAAAUGCGUAGAUAUUGGGAGGAACACCAGUGGCGAAGGCGGCUCACUGGACCGGUACUGACGCUGAGACGCGAAAGCGUGGGGAGCGAACAGG